RNAcentral lists this ribosomal RNA (497 nucleotides) under uncultured bacterium. RNAcentral describes it as "partial 16S ribosomal RNA". It matches the Rfam family "Bacterial small subunit ribosomal RNA", at positions 28 to 507 of the family's 1533-position model. The record is from RNAcentral.
GAUGAACGCUGGCGGCGUGCCUAAUACAUGCAAGUCGAGCGAACAGACGAGUAGCUUGCUCCUCUGACGUUAGCGGCUGACGGGUGAGUAACACGUGGAUAACCUACCUAUAAUACUGGGAUAACUUCGGGAAACCGGAUCUAAUACCUGAUAAUAUAUUUAACCGCAUGGUUCAAUAGUGAAAUACGGUUUUGCUUUCACUUAUAGAUGUAUCCGCGCCGCAUUAGCUAGUUGGUAAGGUAACGGCUUACCAAGGCAACGAUGCGUAGCCGACCUGAGAUGGUGAUCGGCAACAAUGGAAAUGAGAAACGGUCAAGACACCUACGGGAGGAAGCAGUAGGGAAUGUUCCGCAAUGGGCGAAAGCCUGAAGGAGCAACGCCGCGUGAGUGAUGAAGGUCUUCGGAUCGUAAAACUCUGUUAUUAGGGAAGAAAAAAAGUGUAAGUAAAAAUGCACGUAUUGACGGUACCUAAAGAGAAAGCAACGGCUAACUACGUG